CUUCACCGAGCCCAGGAACAGCGGCCGGUCGGAGGGGCGGUCCUGACCGUAGGUGGCCAGCAGCGCCUGCGCCUC
This 75-nucleotide antisense RNA is filed under the name Paractinoplanes brasiliensis. RNAcentral's name for it is "Actinoplanes brasiliensis ASpks TB sRNA". It matches the Rfam family "ASpks TB sRNA". Lineage: Bacteria; Bacillati; Actinomycetota; Actinomycetes; Micromonosporales; Micromonosporaceae. The record is from RNAcentral.